AACGAACGCUUUCGCCCUUCCUAACACCUUCAAUUCGAACUAGACCUUCGGGUCUAGUGUCUCACUGUUUCGUAACGCGUGGGAACCUGCCCUUAGGUUCUUACUCACUCCCCGAAAGGGGUGCUAAUACCGGAUAAUGUCUUCGGACCAAAGAUUUAUCGCCUUUGGAUGGGCCCGCGGGGGAUUAGCUAGUUGGUAGGGUAAAAGCCGACCAAGGCGACGAUCCAUAGCUGGUCUGAGAGGAUGAUCAGCCACACUGGGACUGAGACACGGCCCAGACUCCUACGGGAGGCAGCAGUGGGGAAUAUUGGACAAUGGGCGAAAGCCUGAUCCAGCAAUGCCGCGUGAGUGAGGAAGGCAGUAGGGUUGUAAAGCUCUUUUACCCGGGAUGAUAAUGACAGUACCGGGAGAAUAAGCGAAGGAGAAAUCCGGG
Molecule: ribosomal RNA, 433 nt
Filed under: uncultured bacterium
Lineage: Bacteria
Description: partial 16S ribosomal RNA
Rfam family: Bacterial small subunit ribosomal RNA
Source: RNAcentral